GACGAACGCUGGCGGCGUGCUUAACACACGCAAGUCAAGGGGGCCCAGCAAUGGGCAACCGGCGAACGGGUGCGUAACACGUGAGCAACCUACCGAAGUGUGGGGGAUAGCCGGCCUAACGGCCGAGUAAUACCGCAUACGAUUCCGAAGAGGCAUUUCUUUGGAAUGAAACCUACGGGGUACUUCGAGGGGCUCGCGGCCUAUCAGCUAGUUGGUGAGGUAACGGCUCACCAAGGCAACGACGGGUAGCGGUCUGAGAGGAUGGCCAGCCACAUUGGGACUGAGAAACGGCCCAGACUCCUACGGGAGGCAGCAGUGGGGAAUCUUGCGCAAUGGCCUAACGGCUGACGCAGCGACGCCGCGUGAGGGAUGAAGCUCUUCGGAGUGUAAACCACUGUUGCCCGGGACGAACACACUCUUUUGAGAGUGCUGACGGUACCGGGUGAGGAAGCACCGGCUAACUCUGUGCCAGCAGCCGCAGU
RNAcentral lists this ribosomal RNA (482 nucleotides) under uncultured bacterium. RNAcentral describes it as "bacterial SSU rRNA". It matches the Rfam family "Bacterial small subunit ribosomal RNA", at positions 28 to 521 of the family's 1533-position model. The record is from RNAcentral.